Gallus gallus (chicken) is the source of this 2738-nucleotide long non-coding RNA. RefSeq lists it as uncharacterized. The record is from RefSeq and is a predicted model, not a curated record. The transcript is spliced from 8 exons. Lineage: Eukaryota; Metazoa; Chordata; Aves; Galliformes; Phasianidae.
GAUCCAGUAGUAACUCUGAUUUAAAAGAGGGGAAAAAAAAGCAACACAACUCAAAAACAUCAUCCAGACAAAGGACUGAAGUGGAUAAACUGUUGGGAACGUUGAGGAUUCAAGAAGCAGUCUGGCUCAAGACUCAGUCUUUUGUUUUACAAGGAGCUCCAUUACCAGAUCUCUUAAGGCUCACAGUCUACUUAUAAGUUGCUUGGUUCUCCAGAUUUGAUUCUUGGUGAACUUGACAAGUCUUCCUUGGGCCAGUACCCUACUGGGCUGGUGAUGGAUGGCAUCGAGCUAUGUCCAAGAAGGUGGCAGUUUGUGACAUGUCCUGUUGACUUCAGCAACGGUUGACUUUUAAGUGUCAUUUAUUCAGCAUACUGAGGAUAAGAAGCCCUGUUCUGCAGGAAGCCAAGGUUUGUUUAUUGUGCUCAAGAAACAUGGAAGACAACAAGGAGUUCUUGGGUUGAGGAAGAAAGGAAGAAAGGUCUCCCUAUGAUCCUGCUAACUUUGUACAGGUUUUGAGAGGCCCAUCUGUGCAGGGACUUCAUUGGUCCUCAUUUGCCUGCUAUCAUAUUGUAGUCUGCACCAGACCUCAGACCUGCAAUACUGCAAGAAAUAGAAGUACAGUGAUUGUCUCCACUUACAGUCAGUGGCUAUCAAUGAAUGUUGCACUUUGAAUGAAUUCAGAGUAAACUGGCAGAAAUUUUAAGCAGAAACUCUUCAUCAAAGUGAAAUAUCAUAGAAGGCUGCUGUUGUAACUUUCAGCCACUAGCAAACUGAGUCUUACAAAGAACUUGACUCAACCAGUUAGACAGAAUGGAGCCAUACAGAAUGGAGCCUUAAGAACUGUACAGGGAACUUCUUGACUCAGACACCUAGCUUAACGACUGGUUGAGAAUGAGAGAAUGAAGCAUUAACAACUCAAGUUGGAAGCUGUAAGAUCUAUGGGCCCCAUUCUAGAAGCAGAGCGUGUGGAGUGUGCGGGCUGUUUAUCUUCACUGUCUCCUCAUGGCUAAUAAACAUCAGAAAAGGAGGAUGCACGACUACCAGAGAUCCUGUUCAAAAACUCCCAAAUCUUCUAGACAUAAGUGGGGCAGUCUUGGACCAACUGGACUAUGUAACAAUGAAUACACACAUUCACCUCUGUCUGCCCACCAGCCCCAGAUUGAGACUCCAGACAACACAGCACUGGAUCCAGGAGUGGUGAAAUACAUCUACCUCUAAAUCUCUCUUUCUCUGUCUCUCUUUCUCCCUCUUCUUUUUCUUCUCAAUCUUCUUUUAGUCACUUUUAGUCUGCAGUAGCCUGUUGCUUGAAGUUGCCUUAAAAUAGUUGAUAAGGAUAUAACACUUAUGCCAUGUACACUUAUCCAUGCUGCUUAAUCGCUGUUAGAAAGUUGCCUAAUUUUGCUUCAAACUAGUUGAUUAGUUGUUAGUAAGCUCAAUAAAUUGCUGUGGCCUGACUGCCCAGCGAGCAGGGAGUGCCCUAUUCAGUGAGAUUCCAAAGAUUCACUUUAUUCACAACUCACCUUAUUAAAGCAAUGCACAGGUGUUCUGGCCUGGGUGCACACACUGCAUGUUUGUUGUACUUUUAUUGUGCAACGCCUGAAUUAUAUUAAAGGCUGACUGAGCUGCACCAGCUUCUGUUAGGAGUCAUCUGACUCAGUGCACUCUAAAACCAAUAUAACUCUGUAAUAAAAAACCUAUUUAACCUUCCCAUUUGUGAAUGCAUUCCAUUGGACAUAGCAGCUUGAUGUUCAUUAAAAUUAAAGACAGAAAAUUGUGUUAGGUAAUGCACUGCUUCCCUCUUGGCAUCAUAGGUCUGGUACCUCCUUGGUGUUCCAGUGUGACCUUUUGUGUUGUGAGAAGCAGUAAUUUAUUUUCUCAUGCUAUUGGGAUGGUUUUUUCUCUGAUUGCUCUCUGUGCUUCUUGCUCAUGGUCAUCACUCGGUAUAUCUUGCCUCAUUCAGUCACCUUUGGGAGCAUGGAAUACCUACAUAGAAGAGUUUUAUACCUGUUAACGUUCCAUCUAGCAUAUAAGAAUUGUCAAUUCAGAGUAUUGGAGCCAAACGUUUAACUCUAUAUUCUAAGCCAAAGAACGGAGAGGCAGCUGUCAAGGCACAAACAGACAGUUCUUACAAGGUGGGCAUCACUGUGGCUGUUUAAAAAAGCUCUGAAAUAACAUCAUUAACACUUGUUUUGAAGAUACUGUGUUUGAAAACCAUAGAACUCUGUUUCCAGUGUUGUGCAUACUCAUUAGCUGGAUAAGUAACUGUUUUUCUCAACACUACACAAGUCUGACCUACCUCAAGUUCUGAACUGGGCUGAUUUCAACUGAAAAGGAAAAAUUGGAAGCCAGUAGCAGUCUUAACAGUGUUGAAUGUGGAAGUUGUAGUCCUAGGACUGGAACAGUCAUAGAUGCAGAGAGGCAGUAUUUAAAUAUUGGCAUAAAUAGACCCCGCAGAACAUUGGGAUUGACACCGUGGACCAAAUGUACCUUUAGUAUUAAGCUGGCUGAUGUUGGUGUUGUACCCCAGGUGCAGCUGAUGCAUGGCAUGAAAGAAGGAAUACUCUGUUGGGGUUGUUUUGCUUUGUUUGAUUAUUUGUAUUUCUUUCUGGAGACUUGUUGCUAAGCAAUUGGGGAAGCAGUAAGGCAAAAGAUAUAAGGCCAUAAUUCACUUUGUAAACAAUGGAAAUCUUUGCAAUUUCAGAAGAAGCUGCAGCAAUAAUACAUAACAUCAGAAAGGA